AAGGCUAAAUACUCCUGACUGACCGAUAGUGAACCAGUACCGUGAGGGAAAGGCGAAAAGAACCCCGGCGAGGGGAGUGAAACAGAACCUGAAACCGUGUACGUACAAGCAGUGGGAGCCCCACCACCAAAGCGUUUCGCUUUGCGUGGUGCGCAAAAUGCGUAACGACAGCACGAUUGCGGUUAACGGAGCGUAAGCGACGUUCAACACAAGAAUCAGGCAGUGGAGCGUUUUGGGGUGGGGUGACUGCGUACCUUUUGUAUAAUGGGUCAGCGACUUAUAUUCUGUAGCAAGGUUAACCGAAUAGGGGAGCCGGAGGGAAACCGAGUCUUAAUUGGGCGUUAAGUUGCAGGGUAUAGACCCGAAACCCGGUGAUCUAGCCAUGGGCAGGUUGAAGGUUGGGUAACACUAACUGGAGGACCGAACCGAC
Molecule: ribosomal RNA, 430 nt
Filed under: Salmonella enterica subsp. arizonae serovar 41:z4,z23:-
Lineage: Bacteria; Pseudomonadati; Pseudomonadota; Gammaproteobacteria; Enterobacterales; Enterobacteriaceae
Description: partial 23S ribosomal RNA
Rfam family: Bacterial large subunit ribosomal RNA
Source: RNAcentral